GAUGAAGAACGCAGCGAAAUGCGAUAAGUAAUGUGAAUUGCAGAAUUCAGUGAAUCAUCGAAUCUUUGAACGCACAUUGCGCCCGCCAGCAUUCUGGCGGGCAUGCCUGUUCGAGCGUCAUUUCAACCCUCGAGCCCCCCCGGGGGCCUCGGUGUUGGGGGACGGCACACCAGCCGCCCCCGAAAUGCAGUGGCGACCUCGCCGCAGCCUCCACUGCGUAGUAGCACACACCUCGCACCGGAGCGCGGAGACGGUCACGCCGUAAAACGCCCAACUUCUUAGAGUUGACCUCGGAUCAGGUAGGAAUACCCGCUGAACUUAAGCAUAUCAAUAAGCGGAGGA
This 342-nucleotide unclassified non-coding RNA is filed under the name soil metagenome. RNAcentral describes it as "partial contains 5.8S ribosomal RNA, internal transcribed spacer 2, and large subunit ribosomal RNA". The stretch from base 1 to 120 matches the Rfam family "5.8S ribosomal RNA", at positions 35 to 154 of the family's 154-position model. The record is from RNAcentral.